CUUUGGGAGUUCGAUUAAGCCAUGCGAGUCGUGAGUCUUAGGGACUCGGCAUACUGCUCAGUAACACGUGGAUAACCUGCCCUAUCGUCUGGAAUAACCUCGGGAAACUGAGAAUAAGGCCGGAUAGUUCACAAUGCCUGGAACGGUUUGUGAAUCAAGGUAGGAUGGGUCUGCGGCGUAUCAGGUUGUAGGGGGUGUAAAGGACCCCCUAGCCUUCGACGCGUACGGGUGUUGGGAGACAUAGCCCGGAGAUGGAUUCUGAGACACGAAUCCAGACCCUACGGGGUGCAGCAGGCGCGAAAACUUCACACUGCAGGAAACUGUGAUGAGGGAACUCCUAGUGCAUGCACUAUGUGUAUGUAGAUCCUACUCUUAACAAGUAGAGGGAAAGGGCUGGGAAAGACCGGUGCCAGCCGCCGCGGUAAUACCGGCAGCUCAAGUGGUCGUCGCUUUUAUUGGGCCUAAAACGUCCGUAGCCUGUUUGGUAAAUCUGUGGGUAAAUCAAUCCGCUCAACGGAUUGAAUUCUGCAGAGACUGCCAGACUAGGGACCGGGAGAGGUGUGGGGUACUCGAGGGGUAGGGGUAAAAUCCUGUCAUCCUUCGAGGACCACCAGUUGCGAAGGCGCCACACUGGAACGGAUCCGACGGUCAGGGACGAAGCCUAGGGGCACGAACCGGAUUAGAUACCCGGGUAGUCCUAGGUGUAAACGCUGUGAACUUGGUGUCGGGGGUCCGCAAGGGGUCCCCGGUGCCGGAGUGAAGAUGUUAAGUUCACUGCCUGGGGAGUACGGUCGCAAGGCUGAAACUUAAAGGAAUUGGCGGGGCAGCAC
RNAcentral lists this ribosomal RNA (830 nucleotides) under uncultured euryarchaeote. RNAcentral describes it as "bacterial SSU rRNA". It matches the Rfam family "Archaeal small subunit ribosomal RNA", at positions 30 to 879 of the family's 1478-position model. The record is from RNAcentral. Lineage: Archaea; Methanobacteriati; Methanobacteriota.